RNAcentral lists this ribosomal RNA (460 nucleotides) under uncultured bacterium. RNAcentral describes it as "partial 16S ribosomal RNA". It matches the Rfam family "Bacterial small subunit ribosomal RNA", at positions 338 to 795 of the family's 1533-position model. The record is from RNAcentral.
CCUACGGGAGGCAGCAGUGAGGAAUAUUGGUCAAUGGGCGCGAGCCUGAACCAGCCAAGUCGCGUGAAGGAUGACGGUACUACGGGUCGUAAACCUCUUUUAUCAGGGAAUAAAGUGAGGGACGUGUCCCUUUUUGUGUGUACUUUAUGAAUAAGGAUCGGCUAACUCCGUGCCAGCAGCCGCGGUAAUACGGAGGAUCCGAGCGUUAUCCGGAUUUAUUGGGUUUAAAGGGUGCGUAGGUGGGUUGUUAAGUCAGUUGUGAAAGUCUGCGGCUCAACCGUAAAAUUGCAUUUGAAACUGGCAGUCUUGAGUAUAGUUGAGGUAGACGGAAUUCGUGGUGUAGCGGUGAAAUGCGUAGAUAUCACGAAGAACUCUGAUUGCGAAGGCAGCUUACUAAACCACCACUGACGCUGAUGCACGAAAGUGUGGGUAUCAAACAGGAUUAGAUACCCCUGUAGUC